RNAcentral lists this ribosomal RNA (253 nucleotides) under uncultured bacterium. RNAcentral describes it as "partial 16S ribosomal RNA". It matches the Rfam family "Bacterial small subunit ribosomal RNA", at positions 524 to 776 of the family's 1533-position model. The record is from RNAcentral.
UACGAAGGGUGCGAGCGUUAAUCGGAAUUACUGGGCGUAAAGCGUGCGUAGGCGGUUCGUUAAGUCAGCUGUGAAAGCCCCGGGCUCAACCUGGGAAUUGCGGUUGAAACUGGCGAACUAGAAUCUGGCAGAGGGGGGUGGAAUUCCACGUGUAGCAGUGAAAUGCGUAGAGAUGUGGAGGAACACCGAUGGCGAAGGCAGCCCCCUGGGCUGAGAUUGACGCUCAGGCACGAAAGCGUGGGGAGCAAACAGG